GCGACGGUCGCGGGCCGAUAUCUUGGUUUGUGUGGCAGGUCGACUUGGAAAAAGACAGACCGUUGUCACGCCAGACCUACUUCGCGACAGUAACGGAAGUUUCGUGACCAAUCAAUCCUUCGAUUCUUGUUCAAGAGGUCAAGAAUUGAAGAAUAAAUUCAUUAUCGUUAUCGUCCGAUAAUUAAGAUCUGCGAUUAAAAAAAGGAACUUGAUUUCUCAGAUUUUCAAGAUUAUAUUUAUAUAAUCCAGCCUGCAAAUAUUCUGCUGUCUAGUCCAAAAAGGAGAUUAAAACACCGGAUCAAAAUUGUGCCGUUUUUUUUACGCAGAGUCGACGCAAAUUCCAUCUAUUCCAACCAAUUGGCAUAGAAAAAAUGGGGAUUUUCAUGGAUCCGAGGAUGAUUAUUGCAGGAUAGAACGAACAUCGGUAUGUGGUACCUGGUGGCACGCGCCAUGCGCUCCGGCCUCGGCAACAGCUGCUCCUGCGCCCGAAGACCGGAGGUGGAUGAAUAAAGUGAGAGGCACACCUUGCUGCAGGCGCGUGCCGGCAGCUUUCAAGAUGUGAAUACCGCGAGAUCCUCCGUCUGUCUGGGCCGUUGAUCUCGACCCUUUUAUCUCCGGGAAUCGGAGACGGUGAAACGACCGCCGCCGCGCCGCCACAGUCAUAUAUGUAUGUAUAUACAUUAUAUUAUAUACAUUUGACGUACGCGCGAUGCGACGCGACAUCGAUCGCGAGCGACUAAUUGCCUGCGUCAAUCGAUCCAUCAGACGCGUGACGAAGGCAUCGUUUGAAAAAAAAAAAAAAAAAGGAAUUAGUACAAGCGCGUAAUUAUGCAAAAAAAUUAUUUCUUAUUUUCUCUCUUGCGAAGCCAACUCAUAAACUUUUCGAUGUGAGAGGUAGAUCUGUAUUCUAAGAUUUCAUAUUUUGUAAGUUGUAAAUUACACAUUUAUGAAAAUUAAGAAAUUAGAGUAUAAAUGAACUGCAGAAAGAGUAUGUCUUGUUUGCAUGACAAAAGCAUUGUUUAAAAAAAAUUUAGUAAAGGUGCGUAAUUUUUUUACAUGAAAGGCGGAUCUAAUUUUAAGAGUCUAAAUUUCAUAUUCGAAUCUUAAGCUGUAAAUUGCAUAUUUAUGAAAAAUAAAUAAAUUAGAGCCUAAAUAAAAAA
Long non-coding RNA from Nylanderia fulva, 1160 nucleotides. RefSeq lists it as uncharacterized. The record is from RefSeq and is a predicted model, not a curated record. Lineage: Eukaryota; Metazoa; Arthropoda; Insecta; Hymenoptera; Formicidae.